This is a long non-coding RNA of Bos taurus (domestic cattle), 818 nucleotides long. The record is from Ensembl. NCBI's taxonomy places the organism in Eukaryota, Metazoa, Chordata, Mammalia, Artiodactyla, Bovidae.
GUGAGAGAACACAUUUUUAUUGUUUAAGCGACCAGGGUGGUGGUAAUUUGGUACUGUAGCCCCAAGAGACAAAUAGAGUCUAUUGGUCGUGGGUUCUGGCUUCAAAUGUUACUUCUGAGUGGUCCCAGACAUAGUUUGUUCUGAACCUCUGUUUCUUCAUUUAUAAAAAUGAUAACAUAGGUAUAAGGUGUCUAGUGCAGUGUUUGUCACCCAGUAAUACUUCCUGAAAUGUUGGUUUUGUGGGGAAAAAAACAACUUGGUGGUUGAAGUUGCCAUCAGUAUAUCCACAGAGUGAGGUUCUCUUCUCAGAGAUACUCUGUUUUACACUGCCGAUCUGAAAUGAAAUUGCAGCCUUCCAUAAUGAGCAAGUGAGGCUCAGAGGCAGAAUGGAUUGAGCUUCACCAAUACCUGUCACCGGCAGUCACGGACCCUUUGAAACGACAAAUGGCAGAGCCUCUAAUAAAAGGCCAGCUGGGACUACACACCGGGAGGGUUAAGCAACCACAGGAUUAAUUGAAACUCUGCUGCCAUUGCUCUGGUCAAGAUGGUACUUGGACCCUGGCUGUUCCCAGUCACAACAUCUGCUCAGUGGUUUCAAAUUACUUGUGGACGCCAACCAUGACUGACAAGAGAAAAUUUUAAAUGUUCUAAUCAAAGACCUCUUCUUACUCCUAUUAAUAUCACAAGUUGUAGCCUUCUUUCCCCUUGCCCACUACAGGCCAGCAGAUAUAGAAAGUUCCAGAACAGGUGAAAUUGAUUAGAAUGCAAGGUGAUUUUGGAAUGAAAACUAGACUCAUGGCAAUUUCAGAAGUUACAUG